UGAAGCUCAAACAGGCAUGAACAGACACGGAGACAGUCUGUCAGAGCAGGUAGAGGCUGGAGCUAAUCCAAUAAGUUGGAAGUUGGCGAAUGGGAGGGCUGCUAGAUAGGAAGCAAAACAAGAGACCCAAGGGGAGACAGUUCAAUAUAUUCUGUAGUAUCCGGAAGAAGUCUUCAGAAGAGUCAUCUUGAGUGAUAAUGUCAGCGGCUGCGGCAUGCUGUUUAUUUUUGCAAUAAAUCCUCCUUUUUAAUUACCUACACUUACUGUGUUAUCAAGCUGGGAACCUGGACUCCUGACACAGUUGCUGGAAGCCACAGGAGGGGAGAGUGCUGUUGUGCUCAGGUUUUGCCAAAGGGUUUCUUACUACCAUCUGGUUGGCCACUGUGAGAACUGGAUGCUGGACUAGGUGGGACACUGCCCUGAUUCAGUAGCCUCCUCUUAUGUUGUUUUCCAGGAAGAGAACAUGUGCAUUGACAAAGGGGGGAAUUUGGGAGGUGCACAAUGUUGUUGCGGGUGCCUUUCCUCCUCCCCAAAUGAACGCCCCACUCCAAGUGGGAGAAAACCAGAGCAUGCACCACUCUGGUGAGACAGUGCGCAGGCAGGUAGGGUCUCAGCCUGCGUACCAGAUGGAGCUGGUAGACAGCUGCCCUGGACACAGAAUUGACCUGCGCCUCCAUGGACAGCUGUGAGUCCAAAAUGACUCCCAGGCUGCGCACCUGGUCCUUCAGGGGCACAGUUACCCCAUUCAGGACCAGGGAGUCCUCCACACCCGCAGCUGCCCUCUGUCCUCCCAAAACAGAAUAGGCACUGCGUAGAUAGUAAGAAUGUUGCCAGAAAGGAACGUUUCUGGACUCCUGAACUUCAAAAUACCAGCACACAAGUUGUUUACAAGAUGUUAACUAUGACGAUAAUGGGCAACAGAUGGAGAAAGAACAUCCUGCAUAUAAUUUGAUGUUAGACAUAUAGGAAGAUUAUUGGUUGAACACGUGGCAGAAAGUUUGGCAGGAGCAAUGGCAAAUUGUGGCUGGCCCCACAUGUGGAGAAGGAAAUUAAGCUUUAAGGUACACAUUACAGAGAGGAAAGGGAAGCUUUGGAUUUCUAAAACCAAGAGACGUGGAGAGGUCUGGGGCGCCAUUUAGGGAGGGUAACAGGGGCCGCUCUCUCCUGCAUGUGAUUAUUUCUCUACAGCACCUAUUAUCUCAGUCCAUUUUGAAUUAUGGUGCUGGAGGAGACUCUUGAGAGUCCCAUGGACUGCAAGAAGAUCAAGCCUAUCCAUUCUGAAGGAAAUCAGCCCUGAGUGCUCACUGGAAGGACAGAUCCUGAAGCUGAGGCUCCAAUACUUUGGCCACCUCAUGAGAAGAGAAGACACCCUGGAAAAGCCCCUGAAGUUGGGAAAGAUGGAGGGCACAAGGAGAAGGGGACGACAGAGGAUGAGAUGGUUGGACAGUGUUCUCGAAGCUACGAACAUGAGUUUGACCAAACUGCGGGAGGCAGUGGAAGACAGGAGUGCCUGGCGUGCUCUGGUCCAUGGAGUCACGAAGAGUCGGACAUGAGUAAACAACUAAACAACAACAACAUCUCAGUCCAACUCUCUAGAGGAACAGCUGCGCUUGGAACAGUGAUUCCUGAAGUCUAAACAAAACUGCAAAAUUCUAUGAGGGUAACAUUGAAUGCAUGGUACGAAACCUACUUGGUGUCUGCAGUAUGUUGAUGCAUGGGCAACAAUAGGUUAUCUGUCAUGUUAGGUUCUGAUGCUCUCUGCAAUUCCCUUAUUUUCAUUUUGCAGUCAGAUGAAACUCCCCAAUAUAGGUUUGGAUAUGCCCCUUCGCACCUGUGUGCUGAGGGAGAUCACUCAACAUCAUUUAAAAAAAAAACAGAUGCAAGGAACCCAGAUUGAAAGAGGGCCAUCAUGGUAUUGGGAGAAGGAAACUUUAGGCUUUCCACUGCCUAAAGCCCCUGCCUCCCUCUACUAGCGAAACAACAUGGAGAAAGGGUUAACUCCCUCCUCCACCAGCGCCCCUCUGGUACAGCAGCUUUUGAACCUGAAAAAAUACUUUGCAAGUUCAGUGUUGCUUACAUUGACUAGCUGGUUUUCACAUGGGGGACGAUCCUGGUCCUACCUGGAGAUGCUGGGGAUUGAACCUGACAUUUUCUGCAUGCAAAACAGGUAUCAGGACAGGAGUAGGCAGGAAAGGUGACAACAAUCAUGAAUCUACCAAAAUAGAUAGAUACUGGCUUAAUCUAGGUUGAUAUUGUUGUUGUGAGGUAUCUGAAAAAGAUCACAACCAGUUCUUAAAAAACAAAUUACUUUUUAAAAGCAAUUUAAUUCUUUGAUACUGUAUAUCCAGUGGAUGGGCCUGUGAAUCUGCCCCCUGCACAGGAAAUAGCUUUGCUGUCCCCUCCACCCACCAACCAAACCCUGAUAUGGCAUCUUGAGGUAGUUGGUGGACAGGAUUUUGAGAAGCAAUAGAGAUAUAUAGGCCCAGCCCUGAAGUGUUCAGGUCCUGAGUACAUUGGAAAACAUAAUAUAUAAUUGCACACACAAGUCUGUGAAUUACGGAAGUUCCUCGUAUGGCCCUAUGACUGAGUGCCGUUUAGCCCAUUUUGGUCAAGUGACUUUUAUUUCUCCGUGGAAAAUGCAAUAACAGCAAUACUCAAUGGAAACAGUUAUUGUGGAAAGUGGUUUUAAAUGGCCUUCAGGUGGACAUCUUAUGACGUGUUGUGCAAUCUCAAAAGAUAAAGACUGGGUUCUCAAACUGGGGUGGGGGCAUAUGGCAGCUAUAGGAGGUUGUGAGAAUUACAUUCUAGAGAAAGAAAGUGUCCUGUGGCAGACAGUGCUUUCAUUCUACUGAGAAACUGCUUGGUUCUUAAAGCCAGGGCCGGCCCACAGGCAAGGCAAGGUGAGGCAGCUGCCUCAGGCAUCAGGUCCACAGGGGCAGCAGAUCCAGAUGUAGCUAUUUACUCCCCGCUUGUUCCUGAUGUAGGUCUUCACUGACUCCUUCUACCCUGGCAGGGAGGCGGGUGCCAUUUUGCGGUUUGCCUCAGGUGUCGAAAUGUCUUAGGCCAGCUCCGCUUAAAAUUAUAUUGACAAAUAGUUCAUGACAAGUUAAACUCCUUCUGUUUAUUAAGACUUCAAGUGGGAGGCUGCAGAACUGAAUGCUCUCCUGUAUGUAUGUAUGUAUGUAUGUAUGUAUGUAUGUAUAUAUGCAGGCAUGAAUGUGUGUGAGAGUGUGUGUAUGAGUGUGCAUAUAUGUAUAAUAAAAACAGCACCUUUCUGUGCAUAGAAAACUAGAUGCUUGUCACAUAGUUUGGUGUUGCAUAUAGGGAAAAAUGAAUUUGCCAAUUUAGUCUCUCUCAGAAAAAGUACAAAUGGGGGCCUCCGUAAAGUAGGACAUGUGGAUCUUGGUCCAUUUAACGUUGGCUCCCAAAGUCAGAUUUUUUUUUCACUUGUGCAAAUAUUUCUGAGCUAUGGGGCUCAUGCGAAUUUCAGGCUUCUUGUCCUGCCCAACUGUUUUUCACGUUUUCAUCUACUCAUUAUAACCACAGCAAGAGGAGGAAGACACAGAACAUUCCUGAUGUCUUUCCAGCAGUCUAGUGGAAAGACGUUCCUGGGUGUCUUCUUGGAAUUUAUCUGUGAGUGGAAACAUCAUCAGUGGCAUCUCACCACAAUACAAAGGAAGUCUGAACACCUCCCAGAAAUAAACCUAUGAUUUCAUUGGGACAGCCUUACUGACCCAUGGCCACAAGGUAAACAUUGCGUCUCAAACACUCACCGGAACUUAUGGUUACAGGGCAUUGAAAACAUUUUUUUCAGUAGAUUUCACAAUAAUAAUAAAAAAGGACAUCUUCAUUUAGUUUACAUAGCUGGAAUUCUUAUUGUCCAAGCAUAUGAGAGACUGCUUUCAUACUGCAUUGAUCCAAUUCAUUGGACAUGACCCAGCUAACUUUUGGGGGACUUCCAAUGCAAGCCUGACCAAGUUCAAUGGAGCUUACUCCUUGGUAAGCAAGCCUAGGAUUGCAGUCCGAAAAACAUGCUUACAUAUCUCUCAAUAAACCAUAAUGAAAGAAACCUUCUACCGGAUAGCUGAGUUGGUCUGCUGCAACAAAAAUAGCACCCUAAAGCAUGUGGAAGAUUUCAGGCCUGGAGACAGAAUGUAGCUCUCCUGGGAAUGAGUUCUAGUUCAUUAAAGCUGUGUUGAAGUAAAGCAACAUUUUUUUCUAUUAGUCUCUAAAAUGCCACAUGACUUCUUGUUGCCGCUGUUAACCACUCAUGAAUCACCAACCAAAAAUGGCUCUUUCAUUUGUCUGUUUGUAUAUAGGAACCUGCUUUUACACCAUGGCAGACUGUUUUGGCCACCCAGCUGGGAUGUAUUAAAAUGUUGGUGGUUUAUAAAUAUUUUUUAAAAUAACAAUAGAAAAAAAUGAAAGACUAGUAUUCGUGAUAUUUUGGAUAUUGAUGCAGGCUGGAACUAGAUGUAAAGUAAUGCCAUCGUGUUCUGCAUUUCUCUGCCACACUGUUGGUUGCUGUUGGAGAGGAGGGUUGGGCACUAUAUCAUGUGUUUCCUUACGUGCACAUUCAGGAAGAGCAGAGCGUAAAUACAGGGCUGCCAUUUUGGUUGCCAGCCCUGUGAGCAGUGUCAGCGCCCAGUUCUAGCUAUAGCUGCGGGUUCCUUUCUAUGGGAUAAGCUGUAGGUAUUUUUUUAUUUUUUUUUACUGAUAAAUUUUUAUUGGUAUUAUACAUAUAUACAUAUAAACUUAUACAAAGUCCAAUACUUAAAUUACACAUAAUAUAUUCAUUCCAUAAAUCAUAAAUACAUUUAUUUUAGGCUCUGCCAAGCCUUGAACUUCCUUCCACUCCUUUGGUAAGUAUCAAAUAGACUUUAUAUUCACGUAUUUUAUCUCUUUUACAUAAUAACCUUUUACUGUUAGAGUUAUUCCAAUCCCGCCAGUGUCAUUUAAAGUUUGGCCCCAAUAUAUGUCCAAUAUUUAAUCCAAUUGUCAUGAAAUUUCUGUUCAUCUUGAUCUCUUAUUCUUCCUGUUAUUCUAGCGAGCUCGGCAUAAUUUGUUAAUUUAAUCUGCCAAUCACUUAUAUUAGGUAUGGCGUCCGUUUUCCAAUUUUGUGCUAACAUGAUUCUUGCGGCUGUUGUGGCAUAUAAAAAUAGUACCUUAUCUUCUUUUUAAAUUUCUUUACCUGUAAUUCCUAGCAGAAAGGCUUCAGGUUUUUUGGGAAACGUGUAUUUAAAUUUUUUUUUAAGCUCAUUAUAAAUCGAUUCCCAAAAGCCUUUCACUUUGCUGCAUAACCACCACAUACGGUAGAAGUCACCAUCUACUUCUCCACAUUUCCAACAUCUUUUGUUCUUUAGCCUAUAGAUCUUAGUCAGUUUCACUGGUGUGAGGUACCACCUAAAUAUCAUUUUCCACAUAUUUUCCCUUAAUGCCAUACAUGCCGUGAACUUCAUGUUAAUAUUCCAUAAUUCUAGCCAUCUCUCAAAAUCGAUGUUAUAGCCAAUGUCUAUAGGCUGUAGGUAUUUUUUACGGACAUCCUUGUCAUUUUGUGCCUCAGGGUUCGGCCAUCGCUUGGUUACUUUCACAAACUUUUAAAAAGAAUCUUCUGUCACCCUUCAAAAAGUAAAGUGAAAAUAAAACCCCAACAACACGUCAUGGUGUGUCUAUGCUUUCCAACCCUGAGGUGAGCCUUGCUUGUUGUCUUUUCCUAGGCUGAGGCUGGGCUACACUGGAACAUUUGGAUAAAUGCCUCCCAGCUAUGUCUGGAAAGUGCCCUUCGCAUGUUCGUUCUGUAUCACUUUACGCCGCAUUGUGUGACAGACAUUUCUCCAAGCAAUGCUUGUGCUGUGAGGUCAUUCAUAAUUAUUAAUCAAUAUUUGAAGGAGGUGCUUUUCUUGUCUCUAGCAACCUCAGAAUGUACCUUUCACCACACCAGUACAGUGGUACCUCAGGUUACAUACGCUUCAGGUUACAUAUGCUUCAGGUUACAGACUCCGCUAACCCAGAAAUAGUACCUCAGGUAAAGAACUUUGCUUCAGGAUGAGAACAGAAAUCGUGCUCUGGCGACAUGGCGGCAGCAGGAGGCCCCAUUAGCUAAAGUGGUGCUUCAGGUUAAGAACAGUUUCAGGUUAAGAACGGACCUCCGGAACGAAUUAAGUACUUAACCCGAGGUACCACUGUAUUUCCUUGCUCUGCCAGAGUUGCUAAUAUGUCUCUGCUGUGAUUUUAUUUUUAUUCUUUUUUGUAACACAUUUUCGUGAGGAGGAAGGAGCUGUGAUGCUUCACUUUGCACCAUGCCAGCUGACGGUACCUCUGGCACAGAUCUCUACAUGAGUUGACCUGCACAACCAAGACUCCAGCUCCUGUAAAAGCCUACACAGUGUGCAUAGACAAGUGUGCUCAUAGGCUGUCUCAGUUAAGAUACCUGUGCACAACAACAUAGAACAACAAUAAUAACAAUAUAGAAUAAUAAUAUGGAAAUGGAUGAAUUCCUCCAGAACACACUCUGCUUUUGAAAUCUGCAGCCUUUUAAACCAGAUACAGUUUCAAAAGUACUUAAUUCGUUCUGGAGGUCCGUUCUUAACCUGAAACUGUUCUCAACCUGAGGUACCACUUUAGCUAAUGGGGCCUCCUGUUGCUGCCACGCCGCUGCCAUGGAAUUUCUGUUCUCAUCCUGAAGCAAAGUUCUUAACCUGAAGUACUAUUUCUGGGUUAACGGAGUCUGUGACCUGAAGCAUCUGUAACCUGAAGCGUCUGUAACCCGAGGUACCACUGUAAUUCAGAGUCAAACAUGCAGUCUCUUCCUGAUGCUAAUUGUGGUUAAGCGAUUUCUACCUGUGCCAAGCCAAGAUGCCCACAAACUGCACAGACAAGCGAAACCACCAGUGGGUGAGGCACUGAUUAGGAGCCACAUGACAAUGGCUUGCCUCGGUUUCUGUUUGCAGCGUCUGCUUCCUACCCCCAUGAUAAGAAAGUGCAUGGAACCGCUUCCCAGAUGCAAACUGUGGUUCCUGUGUGUAUGUCUGCUUGCAGGCCCUUGUAAACAUACCCUAAUCUUGCCUGCCCACUCCUGCCUCAAAGGCAGGACUUUCGGUAAGGGCAAUGGCAAUUAAAAAACCCUACAUGUCUCGAAUACAAUUACACGGUUAGCUUCUUUUUAUUUAUUCGAUGUGUCUGUGUUGGCUUCUUGCUCUGGGGAGAGGAGGCGGGGGUGCUCAUUGUGACAGUAAAUUGUUGCAAUAAAAACAAGAAAAAUGAAGCCCCAGACCUAAGUAUGAUGUAACACAAGGCUUCAUUGUUCUUGGACUUUGUUUUCCCACAUGUGCACAUUUAUGAAGGUCGUGCCCUUUGCUAUCAUCCCCGGCAGAAGUCAAAACACUUGGCUUUCUAAGUUGUAAAACUUGAGGGUUGGCUCAAGACAUUGAGCCAUUUGGAGCAGUUGCAGCCUCACACAACUUUGGAGGUGGGUUCUUCUUCUUCUUCUUCUUCUUCUUCUUCUUCUUCUUCUUCUUCUUCUUCUGUUUUAUAGACUACUCAUCAUCAUGUCAGAAACAUGAGGGUUGGUUUCCAACAUAUAAAAUAAAUUGAUUACAGUGUAGUUGUUAGGGCAGAGAAUGGGAAUCUGCUACCUUAAAGAUGUUGCUUGAUCAUUGGCCAUCAUGAGGCUGAUGGGAUUGGAAUAUAUAAAAAUCUGGAGAUUUCCGAGUGUUGGACUGGGAUUGGGAAAACCAAGGUUCAAAUCCUCACUGAGCUAUGAAACCAAGAAAAGACACAUCAUCCUCAUCCACAAAAUUUACUAUCUACAUGCCCUGCCAUCUGACUGGGUUCCCCCAGUCGCUCUGGACAGCUUCCAACAAAUUAAAACACAAUACGACAUCAAACAUUGAAAACUUCCUUAAACAGGGCUGCCUUCAGAUGUCUUCUAAGUCAGAUUUAUUUGACUUCAUCUGAUGGGAGGGCAUUCCACAGGGCGGGUGUUAUGUACUGAGUUGAAUAGGAUCCAAACUGCAGCAGUCUGAUUGGUCCUAGAACAAUAGGAUCCAAAAGGCAGCAGUCUGAUUGGUCCUAGAACAAUAGGAUUCAGAAUGCAGCAGUCUGAUUGGUCCUAGAACAAUGCAGCAGUAUGAUUGGUUGGCAGGAACCACCCAAUCCUGCUCCAGAUAGAAGUGAAUCCACAACCUGAUUGGCUUACAGUAGAAUUCCAGAAUUAGCCAAUCAUGUGCAGCCCAUUGUGUAAAUAAUGUAUAUAAAGCAGAUACUGUGAGGGGACAUUCAUUCAUUCCUCCUCACCACUAUGAGCUGAAUAAAGAGCAUGAAAUCACUUUGCGACUCUGAGUAUAUUUCACUGGCGACGAGGAUGGGAUCCCGCUGAGCUGACUGCCACACACAGCACCGCAGCACCGCCAACUGCCGCACCGCUGCCUCGCACCGUGUAUCCAGGCUUCAGCUCCGGGACACAAGGAACUCAGAAUGGCAACCGACAGCAGCUUCUCGCCAUUCAACCCAGCAUCUGGAGACUGGGAAGCGUACGCCUCCCGUUUCACCUUCCUCCUAGAAGCCAAAGGGGUCACCGACGAAGAAGACGCCAAGAAGAGGGCGAUAUUCUUCAGCGUCUGCGGAGAGGAGACGUUUGAAAUCGCCCGGGCUCUCCUUGCGCCUGAAGACGUCGCUACUGUUCCAUACAAAACAAUAAUGGAACAGCUGAAGGGGCACAUUUCGCCGCAGCCCUCAGUGGUGGCUCGUCGAAAUGCCUUCUACGCAAAGCGGCAAGCCCCUGGGGAAACCAUAACUGGGUUUGUGACCUCUCUCCGCCAAGCCGCCCGGUUCUGCAACUUCUCAGAGCUGGAGAACAUGCUUCGUGACCGCCUCGUCGGUGGCCUGAAGGAUGAGAAGCUGCAACGACGCCUCUACGCUAAGAAGGACCUAACGUUCCAGGUCGCUCUGGAGGAGGCCCUGGCAACAGAAGCUGCCGAGAGGUCGACCCAAGAGGCACGGCCGAGCCUGCCAUCCCAACCGAGGGUCCACCACGAAGACCUCACCGACGACUCAGGAUCCGACAGGGAGGAGGUGCACCGAGUACAGCAGCGCACUCAAGCAGCGCACAGACCACAGCUGCCUCGACGAGAAGGAGGGAACUGCGCAAGCUGCGGGGAGAGUCACGAGAGGAGGACCUGCCGUUUCCGCAACGCAGAGUGCAGGCAGUGCAGGAAAUCGGGACACAUCGCCCGGGUGUGUCGGGCUCGGCCCACCCGACACCAGGCAUCAGAUGACCAAUCCAAGAGCCCCAGGUCCCGGGGCCCAACGCACCAAGGCAACUCGACGGAGCUCACGGACUUCCAGGUAUACCAGUUGCCCCACCCCAACGUAGAGAAAAUUUAUGUAGAGGUACAGAUAGAGGGGCCCCAUGCCGCAUGGAGCUUGACACGGGUUCAACUCUAUCCAUAAUCUCGGCAAGGACCUUAAGGAAACUGUGUCCGACUGGGGGUCCCAAACUCAGGCCGGCCCCAUUCACCCUCCGGGACUUCCAGAAACGUAAGGUCCCCACAAUGGGGGUGGGGACCUUCAGGGUGCAAUACCGAGGGCGGACGCGGCAACUGGACUUGCUUGUGGUCAAGGGCCCCUACAUUAGCUUACUGGGAUUGGCAUGGUUUGGACCACUGGGGCUAGCUGUCACCGGGGUGAACCACACUAGCUUACAAGUGGACGUGGACGCCAUAUGCAAGGAAUUUCCAGGGGUUUUCGAUGGGAAAUUGGGACAGUAUACGGGCCCCCAUUGCGCUACAGCUUGACCCCGCAGUACGACCGGUCAGGCUCAAGGCCCGCCGGGUCCCGUUCGCCUUGAAACCCCGUAUAGACGAGGAAUUGGACCGACUCGUGGAGCAAGGAGUGCUGGAGCCGGUGCCUAAUGCCCCCUGGGAAACCCCAAUCGUCACACCCGUCAAGCCUAAUGGUUCGGUCCGCAUCUGCGCAGACUACAAAUGUACCAUAAACAAGGCCCUCACGGCCCACGCAUACCCAGUGCCAGUGGUCAGCCAUGUCCUAGCCACCCUGGCUGGGUCGAAAUAUUUAGGCAAGCUGGACUUGGCCCAAGCAUAUCAACAGCUGCCAGUAGAUGAGGCCACAGCAGAGGCACAGACGAUUGUGACGCACAGAGGAGCGUUCAGGGUAAAGCGGCUGCAAUUCGGUGUCAGCGUGGCACCAGGCAUAUUCCAGAAUCUAAUGGACUCUCUCCUUAAAGGGAUUCCUGGCGUCACCCCUUCUUCGAUGAUGUGUUGAUUGCCGGGCCCACACCAGAGGAGUUUGAGGACCGCCUCCGCACCGUUCUGCACCGUUUCCAGACGGCGGGUCUCAAGGUGAAGCGGGAAAAAUGUCUACUAGGAGUGCCUCAGGUGGACUUUCUGGGAUUUAUGGUGGACGCAGAAGGGGUCCACCCGACUGGGGACAAGGUACGGGCCAUUUGUGAUGCCCCAGCGCCCAAGAGCAAGACUGAACUUCAGGCCUUCUUGGGACUAUUGAACUUUACCAUUCCUUCCUUCCCCACAAGGCGGCGGUAGCGGAGCCCCUACACAGACUCCUGGACAAGCGGGCCCCUUGGGUGUGGGGCCAGCGCCAGGAGGCCGCAUUCCAGGCAGUCAAGGACUUGCUUGUCUCAAACUCGGUCUUGGCACACUUCGACGAGAGGCUGCCGGUGGUGCUAGCAUGCGACGCCUCACCCUAUGGCAUUGGAGCUGUCCUGGGGCACCAACUCCCGGAUGGAAGAGAGGUACCGGUGGCGUACUUUUCCCAGACACUCAACACAACCGAGCGGAACUACUCGCAAAUCGACAAGGAGGGUCUGGCAAUCGUAAAGGGAGUAAAAAAAUUCCAUGAUUUCUUGUACGGGCGGCCCUUCACCGUGGUGACUGACCACAAGCCGUUGCUUGGCUUGUUUGCCCCGAAAGCAGACCCUCCAAGUGCUGUCUCCUCGCGUCCUCAGGUGGUCAAUUUUCCUUGCCAGCUACCAGUAUGCACUGAUUCACCGACCUGGGAAGGCGAUGGGCCAUGCGGACGCCCUCAGCAGGCUACCACUACCGGAAACAGGCCCUGACCCAGCACCUGCACAAGAGGUUAUGAGCCUGGAGCUGCUUCCCGACCGCCCCAUUCAGGCACAAGAAGUUGCACACCAUUCCAAGAAAGAUAGGGUCAUCUCCCGGGUCCUGGACUGGGUGUGGAGGGAUGGCCCAGCAGCAGCCCGGGCCAGAAUUCGCCGGCUACACAACCCGCAAACAUGAACUGUCGGCCCACAAGGGGUGCCUGUUAUGGGGAAGCAGAGUCGUUGUUCCCCAGCCCCUCCGCAAAAGGGUCCUCACAGCCCUACACGAGACACAUCCAGGGGUAGUAAGAAUGAAGGCCCUUGCCAGGAGUUAUGUGUGGUGGCCGGGGAUCGAUGGAGAGAUAGAGGCCUGGGUCAAACACUGCCAGGCCUGCCAAGAAUCCCGCCCAGAUCCCCCAAGGGCCCCAGUCCAGUCCUGGGAGUCCGCCCGAGCACCAUGGUCACGCCUGCAUGUGGAUUUCGCUGGCCCCUUUCAGGGGAAAACAUUCUUCAUAGUGGUGGACUCCUACACCAAAUGGCUGGAAGUCGCACUGGUACCGUCCACUUCCACGUCCGCAGCCAUCCGGGUACUACGCAGGCUGUUUGCAACCCAUGGGCUCCCUGACACUCUCGUCUCAGACAACGGGACUGCAUUUACGUCAGGAGAAUUCCAAACCUUCACAGCGCAGAACGCCAUCCGCCACAUCCGUUCGGCGCCGUUCCACCCUGCCACCAAUGGCCAAGCAGAACGCAUGGUGCGGACCACCAAGGACACCCUUCGCCGCAUGACGCAAGGGGACUGGGAGUACCGCCUUGCCACAUUCCUUCUAGCACAGCACAGCACCCCCAGCUCAACGACUGGCCGGAGCCCUGCUGAACUACUAAUGGGUCGGCGCCUUGCAAUCAGAUUGGACCGCCUUCACCCCGAUAGAGCUCAGGAUGAGGUAGUGGUGGGAGAAGGCAGGAACCCCCGGACCUUUGAGGCCCAGGACCCAGUGUACGCAAAGAAUUUUGGGGCAGGCCCAGCAUGGGUACCCGCCACAGUCACCAGGGUCACUGGCCCCGUGUCGUACGAGGUGCUAACGGAUGGGGGCAAUGCUGGCGCCGCCACUGCGACCAGAUACGGCGACGAUUCCCGGGAGAAAACCAGGAGGAGGACAGGUCAGAGGAGUCCCAAGGGAACAGCGGGGCAGUGAGGCCCAUAGAGCAGGAGGGGCCAGCAGGAGAGGCAGAAUCAGUAAAUACAGAGAGGACCCGUGAGGCCGAAAGGACACCGGAACCAGAACCACGACUGAGCGAGCCGGUUGCACCAGACCAAACAGCCCCAUCACAGCCAGCAUCCUUGGAACACGAGCCAGAACCUGGAGCCCGGACCAGGGAACACCCCAGGCCACAACGCACACGUAGGCCGCCGGCGUACCUUGAGGACUAUGAAUGCGACCUCCCGGGCAGGACUGGACCUUAGAGGGGAGGGUGUUAUGUACUGAGUUGAAUAGGAUCCAAACUGCAGCAGUCUGAUUGGUCCUAGAACAAUAGGAUCCAAAAGGCAGCAGUCUGAUUGGUCCUAGAACAAUAGGAUUCAGAAUGCAGCAGUCUGAUUGGUCCUAGAACAAUGCAGCAGUAUGAUUGGUUGGCAGGAACCACCCAAUCCUGCUCCAGAUAGAAGUGAAUCCACAACCUGAUUGGCUUACAGUAGAAUUCCAGAAUUAGCCAAUCAUGUGCAGCCCAUUGUGUAAAUAAUGUAUAUAAAGCAGAUACUGUGAGGGGACAUUCAUUCAUUCCUCCUCACCACUAUGAGCUGAAUAAAGAGCAUGAAAUCACGUUGCGACUCUGAGUAUAUUUCAGCGGGUGCCACUACCGAGAAGGCCCUCUGCCUGGUUCCCUGUAACCUCACUUCUCACAGUGAGGGAACCGCCAGAAGGCCCUCGGAGCUGGACCUCAGUGUCCGGGCUGGAUGAUGGGGGUGGAGACACUCCUUCAGGUACGCUAGUAAAGAUAAAGGUAAAGGGACCACUGACCACUAGGUCCAGUUGUGACCAACUCCGGGGUUGUGGCACUCAUCUCACUUUACUGGCCGAGGGAGCCAGCGUACAGCUUUCGGGUCAUGUGGCCAGCAUGACUAAGCCGCUUCUGGAGAACCAGAGCAGUGCACGGAAACGCUAUUUACCUUCCUGACGGAGCGGUACCUAUUUAUCUACUUGCACUUUGACGUGCUUUCGAACUGCUAGGUUGGCAGGAGCAGGGACCGAGCAAUGGGAGCCAAUGUAGGUCUUUCAGGACCAGUGUUAUGUGGUCUUGGCAGCCAUUCCCAGUCACCAGUCUAGCUGCUGCAUUCUGGAUUAGUUGUAGUUUCCAGGUCACCUUGAAAGGUAGCCCCACGUAGAGCACAUUGCAGUAGUCCAAGUGGGAGAUACCUAGAGCAUGCACCACAGUGGCUAUGCUGUAACUCCAUGGUAAGCGAGGCAGUAAUGCUUCUGAAUACUAGUUGCUGGAAGUCACAGGAGGUGAGAGUGCUGUUGUGCUCAGGUUUUGCCAAAGGGUUUCUUACUGGCAUCUGGUUGGCCACUGUGAGAACUGGAUGCUGGACUAGGUGGGACACUGCCCUGAUUCAGCAGCCUCCUCUUAUGUUGUUUCCCAGGAAGGGAACACAUGCAUUGACAAAGGGGGAAAUUUGGGAGACGUACAAUGUUGUUGUGGAUGCCUUUCCUCCUCCCCAAAUGAGUGCUCAGGUUAUUACCAUUACGCAGAAAAUGUCUGUUGUGCCCUAAAUCGAAGGCUGCCGGGUUUCUAAAACAGAGUUACUGUAUUUGCACACUGUGGAAUCAUUCUCUGUGUGUGUGUUUUAAGCUUGCUUAGGAAAUUGUUGUUAAGAAAUAUGUCUCUUUGGCGGAAUGUAAUUAGCAUCGCUUUCUUCCUGCUAUGAGCUAUAAUUCUGUGAGUAACUGGAAGCAAAAAAAAUUUUGAGGUUAUUCUGAGCCAUGGUUUAUGCAUUUCAAAUAAUUUGUAAAGUUAGAUUUGUAGCAGUAGAUGAAGAAGGGGGUGUGCGGAAAAGCCCAGCAGACGUCUCUUUCACUUCCUGUUUAAGUCCGUGGUCUGGGGAGGAGUGCCACAGCCUCUAAUGACAGUUGGUUCACUGGAAGAAAUUGGUUUCUUCCACAAUCUAUAAAUGUAAUUUUAGGGAGAUUAAACAGAGCAUCACAACAUGCAUAGACUUUUGUUCUGCAAUCUUUGGCUUGACAUGAACUGGGUAACUCAGAUUCUGAUCAUGAGUAAUUUGUGAUGCUUGUACCAAUAACUUCAUUUAUUCAGAAACACUUUAAUAUUAUUAUUCAAGCUUUUUUUUUUCAGCUGGGACUCAACAGAACUCAGUUCUAGCACCUCUCAGAUGAGUGCCAUUGCCAUUACAGUCGUACCUUGGAAGCCAAAUAAAUCGGCUCUCAAACAAUUGAAACCUGGAAGUGAGUGUUCCAGUUUUCGAAUGAUUACCGGAAUCCAAACGUCUGGUGCGGCUUCCGAUUGGCUGCAGGACACUCGUGCAGCCAAUCAGAAGCCACACUUUGGUUUUCGAAUGUUUCCGGAAGUCGAACGGACUCCCGGAAUGUGUUCUGUUCAAAAACCAAGGUACCACUAUAUAAGAGAACAAGGGAGGUGUUUGUGGUGACUUCCAGCACCUCUUUUCCCAGAAAAAUAGCACCGUUUAUUAUUAUUUUAUUUAUUAAAUUUGUAUACUGCCCUCCCUCCGUAGAUCUCAGGGCAGUUCACAACGCCAAAAUAAAAGAGUUAAAAAACAACAACACAAAAUACGGAAUAGAACAAGAACAAAAACCAACCAUUAACCCCCCUACCACAACACAUUUAAAAGGGUAUUGGAUGUAAUGAGCCAAAGGCUUGGUUUUCACCUGCGCCACUGUCAAAGGUGGGAACACAUGCAACUGAGACUUGCUGAGGCUCAUUCUCGUUUAGUGGUUUAGUGUUGUGUCCAAAUGCUGCCCAUCUCCUUUGUCUUCCUUCCCCUCUCCCUUUUUGUCACAAAAAAGCCGGUCAAUACACUUAACUGGUUUAUUAGCAGGGUUGUACAUGAUGUCCUGACAGAGUUCCUAACAAGGCUUGACACAGAGUUUCUCCAAGCCAUAGCAAGGGAGGGUACGUGCUAGGAGGAAGGCAAGCUUGGCAAAUCCACACUGUGAUCAACUCCCGCCCGGAAACCAAUGUCCCCACUGUGGAAGGACGUGUGGGUUCCACAAUUUGCCUCCACAGUCAGUUACGGACUCAUUGUUAAAACCGUGUUUAUGGAAGACAAUCUUACUUUGCUACAAGUGAUCGCCACAGAAGAAGAAGAAGCAAGGGGGCAAAUGCACAGUUAAUUCACUGUGUCUAAAUAUAGUGCAGAGAGCCAGGGCAGAAAUGUGAGUCAAUGAAGUGAGAGGUACCUAAGAUUUGUUUCAGAUCAUGAUGAGUUUUGAGGAAUUAAGCUGUUGGCUUUUAAGAGAAGGUGGGUUUUUGAAGGAAAGGAGAAGUGAAGAGUAAUUAUUCUGGAAACAAGUCCCGACACUGGUGGAGGAGGAGGCGUGCGGGGGGAGCGUACCGCCCCUGGCAAUGUGAUCCUGGUGGGGUGCCAUUGUGGCUGUGCCCCCGCCCGCGCAGGGCGCCAGCCCCUAAGGGCGGUGCACCACACCCCCAGGACACAUUCCAGCCCUGCCCCCGCCUGCUCUCUGCCCCCCCUCCGGUGCCAGAGCGUGAAGCUCCGCCACGGAGUCCCAACUACUUAUGUGGAUUCACUGACUGUACCCAGUAUCAGGUUUUUGAAGCAGGAAUGUCAUAUGUUUUCAGCCUGGGCUCCAGAUUUGUGUACUAAACCUACCUUAGACUAUCUGUGUUUAGACCUCAGAGCCCUCGUCCGGCACAGAAAGGAUGGUGUGCAAUGCCUAGCAACGAUCUAAUGAAAAUGACUAAUAAAUACAGCAGCUGCCUUAGAACAAUAGAAUCUUAGAAAUCUAGAGUUGGAAGGGACUCCAAGGAUCAUCUAUUGCAAGCUCCUGCAACCACAGGUGAACAUGCUGACAAAUUGACAUCUUGUGGCAAAGAGCUUUGUGGACCAAACAGCUUUGUUGCAUCUAUACUAUGCAACAACCACACAACUAACAAGCCUAAUUAUUGGUUCUUGCUGGAUUCAUGGUGUCAGAAACUGGAGUGUGUGGGUCUACAUUUUCUAUUUGCCACAGGGUUCAACUUCUAUGACUACUGUGCCUCUGUGAAUGUGAGUUGCUGAGGAACAACAGCAAGAGAUGGCUGUUGACCUUGGGUUGUGUUAGCAGACUUCCCAAGGGGCAUCAGGCUGGCCACUGUGAAAACAGGAUGAUAGAUGGGCCUUUGGUCUGAUUCUUAUGUAAACCCAUUGUGCGAAUUAGACAAAAAGAUUCCAUGUGACUUGAAUGCUUCCAAGUUGGUCUAAUAAAAAACCGCAAAUGUCUUUGUUGUUGUUUUUAAUCCUCUAGGUCUAAGAGGAAUGAGGUAGCCCCUUCCUCCACCCAAACCACAGCCCAGAUUUCAUUUUUGAAAACACAUUCCUUGCCAUCUUUUUGGAUCAAAACACUAGAAUAGCGCAUCCAAUGGUAAUUUCCCUUCUAAAACCAUUGUCCAAGGCAUCUUGGCAAUCUGGCUCCCAAGUUGCUACACCCUGCUAUUGAAUCAAAUGCCAAGGUCGGUGCCCUGCUUUUGAUUUAUAUAGCCCAAGUUCUUGGCACCACCACGAUUUUCUCCGCACCUCCUUGACUCCAUAUAGUUAAGAACUAGAUUUUGCCAGCUAGGCAGCUGCUGCAUAUUCCAUCACAAUGACUGCAUUGAAGGCAUCACACCAGCUAAAGAAGAUGAUAUAGCCAAUUGCACAUUUAAUAGCAAUUGUGUAGCAUAUUUUGCAUGUAACAGCGCAUGCCAAAAAUGUAGCUGGCAGACAAGUUGCACAUUUUCCCUCAGCAACUAAUAAAAAAUGAAUGCAACCUUGUUUCAAUUGGCCACAAAUAGCAAAACAUCGAGAUAAUAAGAAUGUAAUUAAUCCAUACCACAAAAUCACUUUUGAGGACCCAAACACACCCAUAAUUAAAAAUGCCUCUCCCAAAUCUCUCUUUCUUCCUUACUACACUAAUUAGUUCCAUCAGAGUCAAUAACUGGUUUAGCACUGUACUUCACAAGCCCUGAGGUUCCUUGUGGAUUUAUUGGAUGCCAAGAAACUAUUAAGAGCUAUCAGGGUUUUUAAAGUCCACAAGCUUAUAAUGGAAGCAUGCCACAAGUCUCAGCUGGUAGCUGCUGUCUCUGUCAAUGCUGGUGUGGUUUAUUAAACCAUACUCAAGACCAGCUGAUGGUGCAAUGUAUUAACAAGGUGGAAAGCAAGAUGAGAUGCAGACAGGGCUGUAAUCUGAACCCCUGGAUGGGCUAGAGGCCUUGGGUGGUCAACCUGGAUGACCUCCAAGCUUUCAAGGCCCAGACUAACCACAUGUAAACAGAGAACAAGCAGACGUCUGUGCAACAUUGUGAAAUGUUCCUCACCUGUGUCUGCAGCUUGUCUUUCUGUAUGCACCACUACUAAACCACCUUCAACUUAAGCACCUUUAAGAUGAGGUCUGUCAACAUAAUCCUUCUCCAUCAUCCUGAACUCAAUCCCACCGUACACUGGACCUCUUUAUUUGAAGGCUGUUCCAAACAUGGCUUAAUUUUUAUUUAUUGUAUUGAUUUCUCAUGUUUUCCUCCAAGGAGCACAAGACAGCACACAUGGUCUCCCCUCAUUCAACCCUACUUAACAACCCUAAGACCCUACAUAACAUCUUCCAGCCUUGGUUAUUCAGUGUAUGCAAGCUGAUUCUCAAAUGUUUAGUACUAGAGCAAAGUUGGGGUCUGAUUUCCAGAUUUGGGAUGUACGUUCUCAUGUUAGGCCUUGAUGUUAAUUAUUAUUGCAUUUAUUUGCAUACAUUUAUCUGGUGCCUGCUUCUUGGGAGAAAAGCAAUGACAAACCUAGACAGCAUCUUAAAAAGUAGAGACAUCACCUUGCCAACAAAGGUCCAUAUAGUAAAAGCUAUGGUUUUCCCUGUAGUGAUGUAUGGCAGUGAAAGCUGGACCAUAAAGAAGGCUGAUCGCUGAAGAAUUGAUGCUUUUGAAUUAUGGUGUUGGAGGAGACUCUUGAGAGUUCCAUGGACUGCAAGAAGAUCAAACCUAUCCAUUCUUUGGAUGGCCCCGGCCCCCGGCCCCCGGCCUCUUGAGAGAGAUGGGCGCGCAACCCUAGAGUCGGUCACGACUGGCCCGUACGGGCAGGGGUACCUUUACCUUUUUAAGGGGGCGACUGUCCCAGACCACACACUUUGAGGGGACGCUGCCUUAAUGUGGCAUCAAUGACAGUAACCCUGGUGGGCAGCUAACAGCUGGCUAACAGCAAGGUUGGACCUGCACCCUCACCUGGGGCCCUACUUCCCUGCACCUGUAUUCAAAACCCAGCUAGAGAUGCCACAGGGCUGAGAGAAAGGUCAGAGACCGGAGGAAGGGAGAAAACAGAGCGUGCCUGGGACUGAUUAGCUCUUCAGAAUUUAAAAUGUUUUCUGCUAGUUAAUCUCGAUGAGGAUCUGUAUGCCUAUUGUUUAAAAUAAAACCGAAAGAGACCUGCAUAAUGGGAACCCUGUUUGCUUUAGAUUGCAAGGAAGACUUUUUGUUCACUGAUCUAAGAAGUUAAGGAUUUAACAUCUUUGCAGGAUUGCUGUGUAUCAUGUGUUCUUCAACCUGAUCUGAGUUUGCAGAAGGUAUACAUCUUUCUCAGCUAAGACCCCCCCCUUUUUUCUGCCCCUUUGGCUCAUCAGUUGUUCACCUGAUCUGGAUACAGCCGGUUUGUCUUUUCUUAGAUCUCUCAUUGAUCCAGGUUUAGGGGGAAGAAGAAUGGAAAAAACAGUCCUUCCCACAUAUAGCCCGGAUUGGGUUGGAACAAUCCAAUCUGAUCAGCAAGCAGAGCCUUAAACAAAUCUGCUCUAAUUAACCUUAUCUCAGCAAUCUCUGAGUCUCAUAAAUGCCAGCGAGAUCACCCUCUUGCACGAAGCAGCCUCAUUCUACCAACAUCAAUGGAGCCAUGUGGAUUUUCACUAGCCCCGUGCUGGCUGGUUCACUGAAAGGAAAAGCACAAAACCUUCCUUCAAUAGACAAUGGGAGCAGAGGGCUUGGGUUAAGGGGAAAAGGAAGACCCUGCUGUCUUUUUUCUAUCUGCUGCAGAGCAAAAACUUGCUAGCAUUUUAUCCCCGAAUCAUUGCACGCCAGUCUGCUUUGCUUAUGGAUUUGGGUCAGGGAGAAAACAGAAUUGCCAUAUUUUAAAAAGUGAAGCUUGUUGAUUAUUAUUUUUUUGGUCAGAGUUGUUGAGCAUUUUAAUUUUUUUGCAAAAGUCAUCAUACGUUGCCAUACAGACUUUUAACACAUACCGGAAAUUCCCCCCAAGACAAAACCCUAGGACAAAAGCAAAGCAGUUGGGUGAAUGAUAGCCAGCUUGCAUGAUUGCAGGAAGGGGCAAUGGAGGAUCAGCUGCCUGUGACACAUGCCAAAGUAUUGUGCAAAGAGAUAUGCAAGAUGGAUGCUGUGGCUUGAACUGAGGACCAAAUGGCCUGGCCCUGUCUAGUGUGAUAUUUGGGCCUCAGCCAAUAGAACUUUCUUAACAACCAUGGUCUAAUGGGAUACCUGAAGUAGUUGCUGGUUAAAUUUACUUUUGCUGUAUUUUAGAGUUAAUGUUCACGCACAGGAGUGCAGUACUCUAUGAUAAAACAACCACGUGAUAUUCUACCAGAACCUUAUUGUGAAGGACAGGUAAGAAUAAAUAAAUACUAGUAGGUCUUGCACAACAUGGAGAAUCUGAGGAUGUUCAGAAAUUCUUUGUCUUGGAUCUGUGACUUUUAAUGACUAUCCAUAAAUUGCAUACAUUGGGAAGAUUAUAUUGCCUAAAGUAUCUAAAUUGAUGUACCUUUGAAGACUGCAACCUUCUAAACAUCCAACUUGUUUGUCAGCAAAUUAUUUUCUAGAAAACAUCUCUGUAGACCACACCAAUAAUGUUCUUUCUCCAGAAAUCCUGGAGAUAUAUAUUUUUUAAGACUCUUUUUUAUUAAGCUCCUCUGAAAGCACUGGAGCAGUCAUGGGUUUCGUGGUUUCUUGCAUGGUUUCGCUUUGGGAGGCAGCAAAUAAAAAGCUUAAUAAGAGAAAUCGUGUUUUUCCAGACUCCAGCUGGUGAAGCGCAGCAUGUAACUAGCUUAAUUUGUAAGUGGCUUUGACUCAUAUGUUCCAAAGUCUUGCAGUUAAACGCUAGACGUUAUGUGGACGUCACAAGUAAAUUUAUUGCUAAUGGAAAUAAAGGAGAGAUUGAGAGAAGUCUUGUGACUGAAGAUACUAUGCAAGCUUUUCAUAGUGAUAGCUGCUGAGUUGGCAUCUGGCAAAUCAUAGCUUGCCAUAAUCAAUAAAGUAUUAAAAUUGUAUUUUAAAAAACAGAGCCCCCAAGAGAACAAAUUGUGGCCACUCAAGCAUUAAGCAUUACUCUAUCUCCUCUCAGACCACGUUGCCUAUUGCAACCUGUGAUUCCAUAUCCAUUGUCAUGGAUGAAGGCAGUCCAGUCGUGGCCAAUUCUGGGGUUGCGGCGCUUAUCUUGCUUUAUUGGCCGAGGGAGCCGGCGUACAGCUUUCGGGUCAUGUGGCCAGCAUGACUAAGCCACUGCUGCCGAACUAGAGCAGCGCAUGAAAACGCCAUUUACCUUCCCACUGGAGCGGUACCUAUUUAUCUACUUUCACUUUGAGGUGCUUUCGAACUGCUAGGUUGGCAGGAGCAGGGACCGAGCAACGGGAGCUCACCCCAUCAUGUGGAUUCGAACCGCCGACCUUCUGAUUGGCAAGUCCUAGGCUCUGUGGUUUAACCCACAGUGCCACCCGCAUCCCAAGAGUCAUGCUGGAUCAGAUCAAAGGCCUGCACAGCAUCCUGUUCUCACAGUGGCCAACCAGAUGCACAGAGGAAGCCUGCAUUGAGUGCAGCACCACUUUCCUCACUUGUGAUUUCCAGCAACUGGUACUGAAUACCAGUGUGCUGCCUCCAACAGUGGAGGCAGAUUAUAAUGUGAUAGGAAUUUUAUGGUUUUAGAUAUAUGGCAACGUUCAUAACUACACGUACAUAGAUCAGCACAGGAAAGCCAACCUGGAACCAUUUUGAUUCCUAAACUGAGCAAAUGUUUCUCUGCAUGGUAAAAAUGGAAAAGCCUCCCCAUUGUCUCUUCCUUCACAAAUCCUGUCUUAAUCUGUGUUUGAAUAAGGGUGUGAGCCUUAUCAUUACAAAAGACUGCCAAGGCUCCCCAAGAAAUCCAAUCAAGUAACCUGCCAGACAGGAAAUAAACAAAGCGACAGGAGAAAACAACAUGCAAAUGUUCUGUUUUAGACCGCCUUAUCUGAGGGGUGGUCUUAGGUUACACCCCUUCUGUGAUGAAUGCAUAAUGUUUCUGGGGGUGGUCUUGAUCUAGAGGAUGGGAAUUUCAAAAGUCUUUAUAAGCCCUUGCAUAGCAUUUUUGGGGGCCUCCUCCUUUCCUGUGUGUGAGUGAGGACCCUGUUGCAACAGAUCAAUAAAGAUCAAGCUUACUAGCUGCUUUGCUUCUCAAUAUUCUCUGGUUGGCCUCUGUUAUUUUCUCCUACCAAUAGGGAACCUAUGUAAGGACUCUAUAUGGGCUCUUGGAUACCCCAUAAGGGAAAAGGGCAUAUUUUUAUUUACAACAAUAGCCAUCACCUCACCACCACCCCAGCCACAAAGUACCCCCACACUGAUUUCUUGCCUUCAUUUCUUGUUUAAUAUUGUAUUAAUAUGUUGGUUCAAUUAUAAUUUCCCUUGAGCAUAUUUUUUUAUAAUGGAAAGGCAGGAUAAAAAUCCUCUACUAAACAAUAGUAACGAUAUGAAGCCAUAAUUUUUAAACAUAUUUUGCAGUCAUUUAUCUCCUUAAAGCGAUUUGAGGUAUAGUAUAGGAGUUUCCAAAGUGGUUUACAAAUGUCUGAAAUGGUAGAGUUUCCGCAAAGGUAAAUACAGUAACAACAGAACGUUGCAACAGGAGACCAUAAUGCUAAGUUAGAGAAAGCCAGCCAUUGAAUGAACUAAAGAAAAUCUUCACCUGAUGCCAAAAAAACUAAUACUGUUAUGGUUGAAUAGGGGAAUUAUAUAAACAGCAAAGUCCAAAGGGAAUUAAAUUCAAGAGGGUACAGACUGCAUUAACUACUUUGAUAUCAAUGACUAUUCAUAAAAUACAAUUGUGUUGAUAACACAGAUAUCCAGGUAUUGUUAAACCAGGAUGUCUUUGGUGUACUAUUCUUCAUUUCAGUUUGUUUUUACCCUUACUGUUUAAAAUCCUCCCAUUCCCGCUGUGUGUGUGUGUGUGUGCCAAACAUUUCAUGAGUCUAAUGAAGAAAUCUGUACUCCAUGAAAGCCUGUGACAUAAUAGAUUGGUUAGUUUUUGAGACCUCAUUGCAACCCUCUUUGUGGACUUCAUAGCCAUUCCUCCUAUAUUCAUAUUAACUGGACAGCAAUUUCCAGUUUUUCAAUUGGUCUUUCCAUACAGGCAUAUGUUACAGAUACACUAUUUCCAUUUCCUUGGGCCCCUUUGGAAGGAAGGGUGGGAUAUAAAUUGAAUAAGCAACUAAAUAAAUAUUGGGCCCAAAUCAUCAUAUGUUCCUUCACUUGUUUAAACUCCCAUUCAAAUUUUAAAGAUGAUUUUGUAAUGAUAAAAUGAGAUGUUAAAUGAAAUUGUUUUUGUCCUGCAAUGAAUUCCUAGGACUUGGUUGAUGUUCUUAAAGAUAUGUUGCCUCUCAAAAAAGAGAAGAAGAGGACAGCUUUGUUAAAGCUCAAAUAUAAUUAUGUCAUUUAUUAGAUUUAUAUAGCGCCCUGCAUCGUAAGAUCUCAGGGUGGUUCACAGAAUAAACUUCAGGCUAAAAGCCUGGUUGGAUUCAUUCCAUUUACCUUGUUCUUACUUUCACUGUAACGUAGAAUAUUUUAAGGCACAGUUAAGGCUGUUUCCUUUUACCUGCGAGCAAGUCCUCUUGAACUCAAAUGUGGCCCUCCAGGCCUUUAUCUGGCCCUCAGAAUUCUCCCUAGACUGUGCCCCACCCCAAGGCCCCAUCCCUCCCCAACAUGCACCACACCUACAUUGUGCUUUUGCACAGGUGAAAUGUGUCCUUUGAGCUGUGAUAAUACCUCUUGCUGGAUGAAAGAUGGAGAGAUAGGUGUGUGUGUGUGUGUAGACCUUAGACUUCUGUACAAAAGGUAAAAAAGAAUACCCUUUGCUCUUCCAACUUUCUUCUCACCCCAUUCACCUCUGGCAUGUGACACUUGCCUUCCACUCAAAGAAGGUUAUUCAUGAGGGAAUAGCUCUAGAGCUGCUGUUUUAACUUCCCCUGAUUCCCCUGCUGUAGUGUUGCUCCAGGCCAUUGUGGGAAAUUAAAAUGGCGGCUCUUGGACCCAGCCUCCUGUCUGCUUCUGCUAGGUUCCUGGACAUGCCCACAUUGGAGAGGGG
Molecule: long non-coding RNA, 23615 nt
Filed under: Podarcis lilfordi (Lilford's wall lizard)
Lineage: Eukaryota; Metazoa; Chordata; Lepidosauria; Squamata; Lacertidae
Source: RNAcentral